GAGGGUGUAGCUCAGUGGUAGAGUGCAUGUCUAGCAUGCACGAGAUCCUGGGCUCAAUCCCAGUACCUCCA
Molecule: transfer RNA, 71 nt
Filed under: Camelus bactrianus (Bactrian camel)
Lineage: Eukaryota; Metazoa; Chordata; Mammalia; Artiodactyla; Camelidae
Also listed under: 3 other names
Rfam family: tRNA
About the family: Transfer RNA (tRNA) molecules are approximately 80 nucleotides in length.
Source: Rfam by way of RNAcentral